UAUCUAAAUACAAAUUCUAAAAUAUUGAAUUCAAAUACAGUUUCUGUUGGCACUGAAAUCGCUCCAUAACCAGGGCUGUUCUUCUGAUACCUCACUGCUACAUUUUCCCCCUUCACUACCACAACGGGAAGGCUAAUUCACUACCACAACUGGAAGGCUAAUUCACUACCACAACAGGAAGGCUAAUUCACUAACACAACGGAAAGGCUAAUUCACUAACACAACAGGAAGGCUAAUUCACUAUCACAACAGGAAGGCUAAUUCACUAACACAACAGGAAGGCUAAUUCACUAUCACAACUGGAAGGCUAAUUCACUAUCACAACAGGAAGGCUAAUUCACUAUCACAACAGGAAGGCUAAUUCACUACCACAACGGGAAGGCUAAUUCACUAACACAACGGGAAGGCUAAUUCACUACCACAACAGGAAGGCUAAUUCACUAUCACAACUGGAAGGCUAAUUCACUAUCACAACAGGAAGGCUAAUUCACUAUCACAACAGGAAGGCUAAUUCACUAUCACAACAGGAAGGCUAAUUCACUACCACAACGGGAAGGCUAAUUCACUACCACAACUGGAAGGCUAAUUCACUACCACAACGGGAAGGCUAAUUCACUACCACAACGGGAAGGCUAAUUCACUAACACAACGGGAAGGCUAAUUCACUACCACAACUGGAAGGCUAAUUCACUAACACAACGGGAAGGCUAAUUCACUAUCACAACGGGAAGGCUAAUUCACUACCACAACGGGAAGGCUAAUUCACUACCACAACAGGAAGGCUAAUUCACUAACACAACAGGAAGGCUAAUUCACUACCACAACGGGAAGGCUAAUUCACUAACACAACGGGAAGGCUAAUUCACUACCACAACUGGAAGGCUAAUUCACUAACACAACGGGAAGGCUAAUUCACUAUCACAACGGGAAGGCUAAUUCACUACCACAACGGGAAGGCUAAUUCACUACCACAACAGGAAGGCUAAUUCACUAACACAACAGGAAGGCUAAUUCACUACCACAACGGAAAGGCUAAUUCACUAACACAACAGGAAGGCUAAUUCACUAUCACAACAGGAAGGCUAAUUCACUAACACAACGGGAAGGCUAAUUCACUACCACAACUGGAAGGCUAAUUCACUAACACAACGGGAAGGCUAAUUCACUACCACAACAGGAAGGCUAAUUCACUAACACAACGGAAAGGCUAAUUCACUAUCACAACUGGAAGGCUAAUUCACUAUCACAACAGGAAGGCUAAUUCACUAUCACAACAGGAAGGCUAAUUCACUAACACAACAGGAAGGCUAAUUCACUAUCACAACAGGAAGGCUAAUUCACUACCAC
This 1347-nucleotide long non-coding RNA is filed under the name Salmo salar (Atlantic salmon). Its description in RNAcentral is "lncRNA (ENSSSAG00000083701.1)". The record is from RNAcentral. Lineage: Eukaryota; Metazoa; Chordata; Actinopteri; Salmoniformes; Salmonidae.